This is a long non-coding RNA of Aethalodelphis obliquidens (Pacific white-sided dolphin), 1223 nucleotides long. RefSeq lists it as uncharacterized. The record is from RefSeq and is a predicted model, not a curated record. The transcript is spliced from 3 exons. Lineage: Eukaryota; Metazoa; Chordata; Mammalia; Artiodactyla; Delphinidae.
GUGUCUCUUGGCAAAAAUUACUUUCAGAAAGUAUCAGUUCCCUAUAGUCAGCUUAAAGACUUCCUGGAAUGUCAUGCUAAAAAUGAGUCAAAUUCCUGGCUAAUUUCCUUCAAGACAACACAAAGAAGAUAUUACACUGCUUGCUUUGGCCCAGAGCUCCUCUUAUCUAAAAAUAAAUAAGUAUAUUUAACAAGAAAGAAAUUCUAAGCCUUUAAAGAAAUCUUGAUUUUACUUGUUAUACGAAACUCUUGCUAUAUUUGUCCCGGCUUUGUCAUAGUUUUAGGCACUUCUAGGCAUACCAGAGAGACAUCUCGUUUAAAUUACCGAGGUUCUGUGCUUUUACGAGACACUGGAUUAGGAACGAGACACCUCAACCAGACUCCUCCGGCUCUUUCCGAGUAUGGGCACAACCUCCUGACAAGCUGGCAACUUCAGAUGAAUGUCAAGUAUUUGAAAAGCGAAGUUGGUUGACUGCCACCUCCUCGCUGUUUUGUCACUUAAACCUUAAAAUUGAGAUGGCAAAUGCAAAACGUCAUCCAUAAGGUCUUCAGGAAAGGAACUCAUGGAUCUCCUUUUAAUUGUGAAGAGGUUCCCAGACAUUUCCUCAUGGCGCAUUUCCUCAUCCCACGUAGUCCGAGUCAUAGAUCAAGAAUCUAUAAGAUUUAAAUGGCAAAUAUCCGCACAUUUAUAAACGGCUUUGGUAGAAUCAUGCUUUCAAACAUGUUUUUGCUCAUAAUUCUCUGGCAAGUGACAAAACCAUUACCUUCCUGUGAAUUAAUUCUUCCAGAACAUCUCAGUUUACCCAAGUAACAACCACGGAGGGCUCACGAAACAUCCUUGGCGAUUGACUUCUGAAGUACACGCAACAAACCAGGAACAGCAUCCGUGAUCCACGGAGCCCCUGUAACCAGGUUUCACUGACACAAAUGGGUCCUUCAACAUUCUAGUGAGACUUGGCUUGGUGUUACUCUUCGACACCCCCAAUCUGCUACUCAUUUGUGGCCACUCCACCCCUGAGAAUAGGGCAUCCCCCAAAGGCCAACCUUAAGGUGAGUCAGGAGCAUUGGAUGUGAGGUAAGUGGCUGGCAGACAAUUAGCACGUUGGCAGAAUUAACUUCUCUUGGCUUCGUUCUUUUAAAGAAUUGUGGAAGAAAGCAAUUUCUUAUUUUUUUUUUAAUAAAUUUAUUUGUUUAUUUUUGGCUGUGUUGGGUCUUUGUUGCUGC